This 85-nucleotide transfer RNA is filed under the name Felis catus (domestic cat). It matches the Rfam family "tRNA". Rfam says of the family: Transfer RNA (tRNA) molecules are approximately 80 nucleotides in length. Their secondary structure includes four short double-helical elements and three loops (D, anti-codon, and T loops). Further hydrogen bonds mediate the characteristic L-shaped molecular structure. tRNAs have two regions of fundamental functional importance: the anti-codon, which is responsible for specific mRNA codon recognition, and the 3' end, to which the tRNAs corresponding amino acid is attached (by aminoacyl-tRNA synthetases). tRNAs cope with the degeneracy of the genetic code in two manners: having more than one tRNA (with a specific anti-codon) for a particular amino acid; and 'wobble' base-pairing, i.e. permitting non-standard base-pairing at the 3rd anti-codon position. The record is from Rfam by way of RNAcentral. Lineage: Eukaryota; Metazoa; Chordata; Mammalia; Carnivora; Felidae. RNAcentral also lists the same sequence under 1 other name.
GCCUGAGUAGCUCAGUUGGUUGAGCGUCUGACUUCAGCUCAGGUCAUAAUCUUGCAGUUCGUGAGUUCGAGCCCUGCAUCAGGCU